UGGUGCUUGCACCGAAAGACGAGUGGCGAACGGGUGCGUAACGCGUAUGCAAUCUGCCUUUUACUAGGGUAUAGCCCAGAGAAAUUUGGAUUAAUCCCCUAUAAUAUCAUUAAAUCGCAUGAUUUUAUGAUUAAAGCUUCGGCGGUAAAAGAUGAGCAUGCGUCCUAUUAGUUAGUAGGUGAGGUAACGGCUCACCUAGACUCCGAUAGGUAGGGGUCCUGAGAGGGAGAUCCCCCACACUGGUACUGAGACACGGACCAGACUCCUACGGGAGGCAGCAGUGAGGAAUAUUGGACAAUGGACGAAAGUCUGAUCCAGCUAUGCCGCGUGCAGGAUGACGGCCCUAUGGGUUGUAAACUGCUUUUAUACAGGAAGAAAAACUCCGACGUGUCGGAACCUGACGGUACUGUAAGAAUAAGGAUCGGCUAACUCCGUGCCAGCAGCCGCGGUAAUACGGAGGAUCCAAGCGUUAUCCGGAAUCAUUGGGUUUAAAGGGUCCGUAGGCGGUUUUUUAAGUCAGAGGUGAAAUCCUGCAGCUCAACUGUAGAAUUGCCUUUGAUACUGAAAGACUUGAGUUAUUGUGAAGUGGUUAGAAUGUGU
RNAcentral lists this ribosomal RNA (600 nucleotides) under uncultured Bacteroidota bacterium. Its description in RNAcentral is "bacterial SSU rRNA". It matches the Rfam family "Bacterial small subunit ribosomal RNA", at positions 74 to 671 of the family's 1533-position model. Lineage: Bacteria; Pseudomonadati; Bacteroidota. The record is from RNAcentral.